UUAUGAUUUUAUCACUAAAUUCCCUUGAUUUUGUAGGUUAUUGAAUGAUUUGAAAGAAGGGUUGAAGUAUCAAGGAGUUGGAAUGCAGAAAAGUCAACCAGUUAACCAGAAUGCUGAAAAGUCAACCAGAGUGCAGAAAAGUUGCGUUGAGCAGAAAUCGGUGCUGAGCGCCAGUGUCUAGACCGGUUUUUCAUUGUUUUUCGUAUGGGCGCCAACGCUGAGCGUUAUUCCGAGUGUCGCACCUACCGCUGAGCGG
This 256-nucleotide long non-coding RNA is filed under the name Vigna radiata. RNAcentral's name for it is "long non-coding RNA (VRAD_LNC016877)". The record is from RNAcentral. Lineage: Eukaryota; Viridiplantae; Streptophyta; Magnoliopsida; Fabales; Fabaceae.